CCUACGGGAGGCAGCAGUGAGGAAUAUUGGUCAAUGGGCUUACGCCUGAACCAGCCAAGUCGCGUGAGGGAAGACUGCCCUAUGGGUUGUAAACCUCUUUUGUCAGGGAGCAACGCCGGCUACGUGUAGCCUGACUGAGAGUACCUGAAGAAAAAGCAUCGGCUAACUCCGUGCAAGCAGCCGCGGUAAUACGGAGGAUGCGAGCUUUAUCCGUAUUUAUUGGGUUUAAAGGGUGCGUAGGCGGAAUGCCAAGUCAGCGGUAAAGUCUCGGGGCUCAACCUCGCUCCGCCGUUGAAACUGGCGUUCUUGAGUGGGCGAGAAGUAUGCGGAAUGCGUGGUGUAGCGGUGAAAUGCAUAGAUAUCACGCAGAACUCCGAUUGCGAAGGCAGCAUACCGGCGCCCAACUGACGCUGAAGCACGAAAGCGUGGGUAUCGAACAGGAUUAGAUACCCCGGUAGUC
RNAcentral lists this ribosomal RNA (460 nucleotides) under uncultured bacterium. RNAcentral's name for it is "partial 16S ribosomal RNA". It matches the Rfam family "Bacterial small subunit ribosomal RNA", at positions 338 to 795 of the family's 1533-position model. The record is from RNAcentral.